CCUACGGGGCGCAGCAGUGGGGAAUAUUGGACAAUGGGCGAAAGCCUGAUCCAGCCAUGCCGCGUGUGUGAAGAAGGCCUUCGGGUUGUAAAGCACUUUCAGUGGGGAAGAAAGCCUUGGGGCUAAUACCCUCGAGGAAGGACAUCACCCACAGAAGAAGCACCGGCUAACUCCGUGCCAGCAGCCGCGGUAAUACGGAGGGUGCGAGCGUUAAUCGGAAUUACUGGGCGUAAAGCGCGCGUAGGCGGUCUGAUAAGCCGGUUGUGAAAGCCCCGGGCUCAACCUGGGAACGGCAUCCGGAACUGUCAGGCUAGAGUGCAGGAGAGGAAGGUAGAAUUCCCGGUGUAGCGGUGAAAUGCGUAGAGAUCGGGAGGAAUACCAGUGGCGAAGGCGGCCUUCUGGACUGACACUGACGCUGAGGUGCGAAAGCGUGGGAAGCAAACAGGAUUAGAUACCCCUGUAGUC
Molecule: ribosomal RNA, 465 nt
Filed under: Vreelandella stevensii
Lineage: Bacteria; Pseudomonadati; Pseudomonadota; Gammaproteobacteria; Oceanospirillales; Halomonadaceae
Description: partial 16S ribosomal RNA
Rfam family: Bacterial small subunit ribosomal RNA
Source: RNAcentral